UUCUUAUCGAGAGAGGUGGAGGGACUGGCCCUUUGAAGCCUCGGCAACAACUAUUUUAGAACUGUGCCAAUUCCAGCAAGCUUACAAGCUUGAUAGAUAAGGA
RNAcentral lists this non-coding RNA (103 nucleotides) under Fictibacillus arsenicus. RNAcentral's name for it is "SAM-I sequence". It matches the Rfam family "SAM riboswitch aptamer (S box leader)". Rfam says of the family: The SAM riboswitch is found upstream of a number of genes which code for proteins involved in methionine or cysteine biosynthesis in Gram-positive bacteria. The SAM riboswitch acts at the level of transcription termination control. The predicted structure consists of a complex stem-loop region followed by a single stem loop terminator region. The record is from Rfam by way of RNAcentral. Lineage: Bacteria; Bacillati; Bacillota; Bacilli; Caryophanales; Fictibacillaceae.